Molecule: ribosomal RNA, 244 nt
Filed under: uncultured eukaryote
Lineage: Eukaryota
Description: partial 18S ribosomal RNA
Rfam family: Eukaryotic small subunit ribosomal RNA
Source: RNAcentral
UGGUGGAGUGAUUUGUCUGGUUAAUUCCGAUAACGAACGAGACCUCAGCCUGCUAAUUAGUUAUGCAAAUGAUUACAUACGCAAGUAGGGGGUCUUUGUUCAAGGUUGCUUCGGUGACAUUGAAUAAAGAAACUCGCUUUCAUUUGUCAGAGAGGGUUACUCAGCUUCGGUUGGGUGCUUUCUCGUUAGUAACUUCUUAGAGGGACACUUGGUUUCUAACCAAGGGAAGUUUGAGGCAAUAACA